UCAUUGUAUUAGGAUUUAUAAGAUUCAAGAUUAUCAGAAUGAUAAAACAAAUAGUUUAAAGUGCACGCAUCUAUUCCAAGUUGAUUGAAACUUGUCUCAUUUUAGUUGGCACAAUUAAAAUUUGUCAGAGUGACCAACAUCGAAAGGACACAAUCACGCAAAAUGGCGGCCCCCUAGUAGUGGUCAUUUACCUUUCAUUGAAUUGGCAGUCCAGGUAUAUUUUUAAGUUCAUCAGGAAUUAUAAAAAACUGACGACUUUAAUCACAUAGAGUACAAGCCAACAACAGAAUAUGCUGAUGAAUUGAAAGUUAAAAAUUGCACCCAGGUCGUUAGUAAUACUAUAGGAUCCUAGACAGAUAAUUCGGCAAAAUGAGAUAUUGGAUUUCAAGAUAAAUUACCCAGUGAAGCUCAAAUCAUGUUGUUCCUAUAUAGACUUUUUGACAACCUCAAUGUCAAAAGAUAUUGAAAAUGUGACACCAAACCUGAGAGGAGAGCAAUUUCAGCAGUUUCAAUGCAUGACCAAUUUUGGACAAAUUUUGGUGUCUGAAAUUUUUAAAGGGAAAUAGAAAAAUGGUAACUCCUGUAAAUUUAUUUUAAUUAAAAACUCCUGUAAAUUUUACUUUUAACAUAUUUACUUAUUGCCUCUCUCUGAAUAACUAUAAACAAAAUUAUUAAUUUGUUUAUAGUUAUUCAAUUUAUAAUAUUUACCAAGGAAUACUACUCGUGAAUUGAGUAGGGAGUAAUUCCUUGGUCAAUUUAUUACAUUAUUAUUAUUGAUUUUUUUUUCUUUUUUUUUUUCGAGAAAUGUAUAAAUUUACUCUAAUACUAUGUCCGAGACAUUUAAUCCCUGAUUGUCUGUUUUAACUGAACUUGAUCUUAAAGUGAUUUUUAACAAUUUAAACGAGUUGAAAUUAAGUUUAUCCAAUGGGAGAUGGCUCUCUAAGUGUUUGCUGUGCCUACGACACAAUCACUUUUCAUACAGAGAUUGCUUUGGUGCAGUCACCUGUUGGUCUGUGAUAGGAAAAGGUUCCUAUCACCUUAAAAGGUUGACCACAUGGGAGAAGAAAGAAGAGCGAGUAAGACCUCAACAAGAUUCAAUGGCAAACGAAUUUUCAUUUGCCGCAAUUCUUCAACAAUCAUGGAAGUUUCAGAUUAAAUUUUCACAGGUCCAGGAUGGGAUGUGGAAAGAGCAAGCCAUUGGGGAAAUCAGUCCAGAGACCAUAUUAGAUUCCUAAGAAAAAGACUGCAUUGUUACGACAAUAAAAAACAAAACACGAAAUAGAGCUAGAAAUAGAAAAUAACUUAACCUGACAAUCCCUCUGAGUCCAGGCUUAAGUUUGAUGCAACUCCAUGACGUCCUCUAAAACAUCAAGUUCUGUUAGGACACAGCUAUUUUUCAUUUUUCGCAAAACCAAGAAAAUUAUUUUCUGAUUAACAAUUUGUGGACAAUGAAAUUUAAAUUCUAAGUUCAGAGACUGUAGACACUAAUGAUAUGACCACUUCAACUGUCUUAUUGAUAAUAUCUAGUCAAAUUGUCCAUCAUCAAUUAGGGAGCUCUUGUUCUAAAAAAGCUUAAAAAUUUUGAAUCUAAAAUUCCUCAGAAAUAAUGCAAUUUACAUUUUAAUGUCACUAAUAUUAUUAAUAGUGUGAAUCAGGUAAAUAAUGUAACUAUUAAAUAUUAAGGUUUUACUAAAUGAUCUCUCUAAAUUAUUUUAAAUCUGUGACCAUACAUAACCCAACUAUUUGUACAGAAGAAAUAUGAUAUUGUUACUAGUUGAAACUAGUAAACAUAUUCUUAUCUAUAGUGUCUUUUACUAUUUUUUUUAAU
Molecule: long non-coding RNA, 1828 nt
Organism: Anthonomus grandis grandis
Lineage: Eukaryota; Metazoa; Arthropoda; Insecta; Coleoptera; Curculionidae
Exons: 4
Source: RefSeq, a predicted model, not a curated record